RNAcentral lists this ribosomal RNA (253 nucleotides) under uncultured bacterium. RNAcentral describes it as "partial 16S ribosomal RNA". It matches the Rfam family "Bacterial small subunit ribosomal RNA", at positions 524 to 776 of the family's 1533-position model. The record is from RNAcentral.
GACGUAGGGCGCGAGCGUUGUCCGGAUUUAUUGGGCGUAAAGAGCUCGUAGGCGGCUUGUCGCGUCGUCCGUGAAAACCUGCAGCUUAACUGUGGGCCUGCGGUCGAUACGGGCAGACUUGAGUUCGGUAGGGGAGACUGGAAUUCCUGGUGUAGCGGUGAAAUGCGCAGAUAUCAGGAGGAACACCGGUGGCGAAGGCGGGUCUCUGGGCCGAUACUGACGCUGAGGAGCGAAAGCGUGGGGAGCGAACAGG